AUGUUUCUGGGUAUUUUUGAAGGACUGAACCUUAGGCUGCUUCUUGGGGGAGGCAAAAUCCCAGCCCAGAAAGAAAACCUCCAGAGAUUCUGUGAUGAAGGUCUGCAGGUAGAACAGGAGAGAGGCAGGAUCAGACUUCUGGGGCUGGAUCAGACUUCUGACUUUCUGACUGCUUGUUCCCAUCUGGGCUUUUGCUACUCACCCUGAAGAGGUGCAUCAGAAAAACUGCAGGAGGGAGAAGAUGAGUCCUGUGGGAUGUACAUUUCUCUUUCCAAACAGUAAGAUGAAAUGGCUCAAGUUCAGACUCACAACUUCAUGUACAAGAAUCUCAGCAAUUUCAUUUUCAGUUGUUAAUAAUUUUUAUGUUUCCUCAGUGGAAAAAUGCUUAAAUGUAAUUUACUUUCAAUCCACCAAAAGGUUAUAAACUAUUUCUGGGCUGAAGGCUGCUAAACUAUGUCAAUUCAAAAAAACCACCAAGACAAACAGGUAUUCUUGCAAGAAGUACUGUUCACAAACUCGAAGUCCAAGGAAAAUGUGCCAGAGAAAUGAAACAAUGGGGGAAAAACAGCCUAUUUCCUUCAAGGGCUGUGUAAAUAUCUCUGGAAUGUGUGUAGCCUCCACUGUGUACUUCAGGGUGACCUCCUUCUGGGGUUUGCAUUUUCCAUAACUUCCCUCUGGUAAGAGAAAGACUUGAUGUGUACAUUCAGGUCCCCAGCUAGGGUCUGUCAGCCUCGCCUGCUGCAGUCAGCAACACCAAAGUGAUUUAGUGCAGCUGAGGCACUGGCUCAUUGCUCACCAGCUAUUCUGAGAAGCAGAGCUCAGGCUUUGCCUGUCCCAGCAUUGGUCCAGCUGCCUCCUGAACCAGUGGGAGUCACAAGGGGUCUGGCUGCAAUGCAGGGGGAGGGAGAGGGGCAGAGAAGAAUUUAGAUCUCCCAAACUGUGACUCUGUCAAACUGAUGUAAAAGUACUGCCCCAUGGUAUCACAUUUAUCUUUCCCUAUUUGCUAUCUAUAUGUGCAAUAAAGCACUGGAUGUUUAGCUGAUUUGAAAGUUG
Molecule: long non-coding RNA, 1053 nt
Filed under: Cyanistes caeruleus (blue tit)
Lineage: Eukaryota; Metazoa; Chordata; Aves; Passeriformes; Paridae
Description: lncRNA (ENSCCEG00000012049.1)
Source: RNAcentral